ACUACGGGAGGCUGCAGUAGGGAAUCUUCCACAAUGGGCGAAAGCCUGAUGGAGCAACGCCGCGUGGGUGAAGAAGGUCUUCGGAUCGUAAAACCCUGUUGUUAGAGAAGAAAGUGCGUGUGAGUAACUGUUCACGUCUAGACGGUAUCUAACCAGAAAGCCACGGCUAACUACGUGCCAGCAGCCGCGGUAAUACGUAGGUGGCAAGCGUUAUCCGGAUUUAUUGGGCGUAAAGGGAACGCAGGCGGUCUUUUAAGUCUGAUGUGAAAGCCAUCGGCUUAACCGGGGUAGUGCAUUGGAUACUGGGAGACGUGAGUGCAGGAGAGGAAAGUGGAACGCCAUGUGUAGCGGUGAAAUGCGUAGAUAUAUGGAAGAACACCAGUGGCGAAGGCGGCUCUCUGGUCUGUAACUGACGCUGAGGUUCGAAAGCGUGGGUAGCAAACAGGAUUAGAUACCCGUGUAGUC
This 465-nucleotide ribosomal RNA is filed under the name uncultured bacterium. RNAcentral's name for it is "partial 16S ribosomal RNA". It matches the Rfam family "Bacterial small subunit ribosomal RNA", at positions 338 to 795 of the family's 1533-position model. The record is from RNAcentral.